CCUACGGGAGGCAGCAGUGAGGAAUAUUGGUCAAUGGACGCAACUCUGAACCAGCCAAGUAGCGUGCAGGAUGACUGCUCUAUGGGUUGUAAACUUCUUUUAUGCGGGAAUAAAGUGAGGCACGUGUGCCUUAUUGCAUGUACCUCAUGAAUAAGGACCGGCUAAUUCCGUGCCAGCAGCCGCGGUAAUACGGAAGAUCCGGGCGUUAUCCGGAUUUAUUGGGUUUAAAGGGAGCGCAGGCGGGUCGUUAAGUCGGUUGUGAAAGUGUGCGGCUCAACCGUAGAAUUGCAAUGGGAACUGGCAGGCUUGAGUGCAGUUGAGGUAGGCGGAAUUCGUGGUGUAGCGGUGAAAUGCUUAGAUAUCACGAAGAACUCCGAUUGCGAAGGCAGCUUACUAAAGUGCCACUGACACUGAGGCUCGAAGGUGUGGGUAUCAAACAGGAUUAGAUACCCGUGGAGUC
RNAcentral lists this ribosomal RNA (460 nucleotides) under uncultured bacterium. RNAcentral's name for it is "partial 16S ribosomal RNA". It matches the Rfam family "Bacterial small subunit ribosomal RNA", at positions 338 to 795 of the family's 1533-position model. The record is from RNAcentral.